Sapajus apella (tufted capuchin) is the source of this 1426-nucleotide RNA transcript. It is a transcript of the gene named RNA-binding motif protein, X chromosome-like, with no coding region annotated. Lineage: Eukaryota; Metazoa; Chordata; Mammalia; Primates; Cebidae. The transcript has a single exon. The record is from RefSeq and is a predicted model, not a curated record.
AUCGUUGCGCAGUAGGGCUAGCGGCUUCGUGUUUUGGUACUCGGACCCGGCAGCCGCUUUUGGUGCUAAGCUGCUAGGAAGCCCUUCUCAGCGAGCUCGUUGGAGCUUGAACCCAUUGUCACCCCUCGGACUUAACGACAAAACAAAACAAAAAAAUGGUUGAAGCAGAUCGCCCAGGAAAGCUCUUCAUUGGUGGGCUUAAUACGGAAACAAAUGAGAAAGCUCUGGAAGCAGUAUUUGGCAAAUAUGGACGAAUAGUGGAAGUACUCUUGAUGAAAGACUGUGAAACCAACAAAUCAAGAGGAUUUGCUUUUGUCACCUUUGAAAGCCCAGCACACGCUAAGGAUGCAGCCACAGACAUGAAUGGAAAGUCAUUAGAUGGAAAAGCCAUCAAAGUGGAACAAGCCACCAAACCAUCAUUUGAAAGUGGUAGACAUGGGCCACCUCCACCUCCAAGAAGUAGAGGCCCUCCAAGAGGUCUUAGAGGUGGAAGAGGAGGAAGUGGAGGAACCAGGGGACCUCCCUCAUGGGGAGGACACAUGGAUGACGGUGGAUAUUCCAUGAAUUUUAACACGAGUUCUUCCAGGGGACCACUCCCAGUAAAAAGAGGACCACCACCAAGAAGUGGGGGUCCUCCUCCUAAGAGAUCUGCACCUUCAGGACCAGUUCGCAGCAGCAGUGGAAUGGGAGGAAGAGCUCUGGUAUCACGUGGAAGAGAUAGUUAUGGAGGUCCACCUCGAAGAGAACCGCUGCCUUCUCGUAGAGAUGUUUAUUUGUCCCCAAGAGAUGAUGGGUAUUCUCCUAAAGACAGCUAUUGCAGCAGAGAUUACCCAAGUUCUCGUGAUCCAAGAGAUUAUGCACCACCACCACGAGAUUAUACUUCCCGUGACUAUGGUCAUUCCAGUUCACCUGAUGACUAUCCAUCAAGAGGCUAUAGCGAUAGAGAUGGAUAUGGUCGUGAUCAUGACUAUUCAGAUCAUCCAGGUGGAGGUUCCUACAGAGACUCAUGUGAGAGUUAUGGUAACUCACGUAGUGCUCCACCUACAUGAGGGCCCCCGCCAUCUUAUGGUGGAAGCAGUCGCUAUGAUGAUGACAGCAGCUCACGUGACGGAUAUGGUGGAAGUCGAGCAGUUACUCAAGCAGCCGAAGUGAUCUCUACUCAAGUGGUCGUGAUCGGGUUGGCAGACAAGAAAGAGGGCUUCCUCCUUCUAUGGAAAGGGGGUACCCUCCUCCACGUGAUUCCUACAGCAGUUCAAGCCGGGGAGCACCAAGAAGUGGUGGCCGUGGAGGAAGCUGAUCUGAUAGAGGGGGAAGCAGAAGCAGAUACUAGAAACAAACAAAACUUUGGACCAAAAUCCCAGUCCAAAGAAACAAACAAAAAGUGGAAACUAUUCUGUUAUAACUACCCAAGGACUACUAAAAAGAA